GUUAAUGCCUUUAGGGAUUGCCUAAGAAAUCUGACGUGUGUUGCUGACACUGUCACAUUCAUUUCCUUUAAAAACAGGUAUAUACAUGCUCAUUUUACAAUGGGUUUAACCUCUCUGAUUUUCACAAAAACCUCUUGAAGACGGCGUUCGUGUCAACUGCAGCUUCAACUUAAACAGGAGGGAAGAACCAGUCUGGGUGUGUGCGCUGACUACAAAGAUGGCGGAGCACUCACCUCAGCCGGGACCCCCACGUCACAUGCCCAGUCACAGCCGGCACGGAGUCUGUCCCCACACACACUCUGGCUCCAUGUUGCCGCCACGGCUUGGGGUCCUACCUGCAUCACCCUCCCUGACCACUGCCUCAGACGCCUCUCUGAAUACUUCGACUAACCUCAGCUCAUCUUUGGUUCAGCGGUUUCAGCUGUUGCCUGUUUUCUAGGGCAAAGGCUUUCCAUGAGAGGCUUGAAGAUUGGCAGUAUGAGCGUCACCUGGGCACUGGUAUAAACAUAAAUUCUUGGGCCAAACCCCAGACCUAUAGAAGAAUACGAAAAUUCGGGAGUGGAUGCAGCAAUCUGCAAUUUAGAAAGCCUUCCAGGUGAUUCUGAUGGAGGCUGAGGUUUGACAGCCACGGAACCGCUGGCUUAGAGUGAAAUGGAAGCGCUUAAGCAAGACAGCUGAGACUCAUUAUAACCGAGGAGUCCUUUGGAAUGGAGCUCUAGCUUCCAGGGAGUCCCACCUAAGACAACCUUGUUUUCCUGGCUGAGAAGCUGACACUCAGGAGAGUGCCACCAGGGGCCGCAUGAGAAGUGGAGAGGAAUCCUGGAUAUAGGAGGGAAAGGAUCUUAGCCCGGAUUGGACAGGCUCUGUGCAGCCCCAUCUGACCCUGUGGCCUUGGGAGGGCCACCUAAGCCCUAUCAACCAUGCUCAAUCCAACUGCAAAAAGAGAUGAAAGAAAGUGAGAGCUGCUCAGUCAUGUCUGACUCUUUGCAACCUCAUGGAUUGUAGCCCACCAGGCUCCUCUGUACAUGGGAUUCUCCAGGCAAAACUACUGGAGUGGCCAUUUUCUUCUCCAGAGGAUUUUCCCAACCCAGGGAUUGAACCCACAUCUCCUGCAUUGCAGGCAGACUCUUCACCAAC
Bos taurus (domestic cattle) is the source of this 1137-nucleotide long non-coding RNA. Lineage: Eukaryota; Metazoa; Chordata; Mammalia; Artiodactyla; Bovidae. The record is from Ensembl.